Molecule: ribosomal RNA, 484 nt
Filed under: uncultured bacterium
Lineage: Bacteria
Description: partial 16S ribosomal RNA
Rfam family: Bacterial small subunit ribosomal RNA
Source: RNAcentral
GAUGAACGCUGGCGGCGUGCUUAACACAUGCAAGUCGAACGGUGAAGCAGGAGCUUGCUCUUGUGGAUCAGUGGCGAACGGGUGAGUAGCACGUGAGCAACCUGCCCCUGACUCUGGGAUAAGCGCUGGAAACGGCGUCUAAUACUGGAUAUGUGAUGUGACCGCAUGGUCUGCAUCUGGAAAGAAUUUCGGUUGGGGAUGGGCUCGCGGCCUAUCAGCUUGUUGGUGGGGUAAUGGCUCACCAAGGCGUCGACGGUUAGCCGGCCUGAGAGGGUGACCGGCCACACUGGGACUGAGACACGGCCCAGACUCCUACGGGAGGCAGCAGUGGGGAAUAUUGCACAAUGGGCGGAAGCCUGAUGCAGCAACGCCGCGUGAGGGAUGACGGCCUUCGGGUUGUAAACCUCUUUUAGCAGGGAAGAAGCGAAAGUGACGGUACCUGCAGAAAAAGCACCGGCUAACUACGUGCCAGCCGCCGCGGUAA